GGUUGUUCCCACUUGUAAGGAAACCAAGUACAUUUAAACCUUAAUCGGUAGUUUCCUCCCAAACAGCCCGAGCCCAGUGAACAUAGCCCUCCGUUCGGUGGUUAUAGUAGACGAAUUCCCAAUUGUAAAUCCAAUAGUGUUCCUGGAUAAUUCCCACAGUAAAACACACAAACUCCCAAACAGCAUACGUAGUCAGAAUAAGGGUACAAAGAUGAAC
Molecule: non-coding RNA, 217 nt
Organism: Pelobates cultripes (western spadefoot toad)
Lineage: Eukaryota; Metazoa; Chordata; Amphibia; Anura; Pelobatidae
Source: the annotation of a GenBank genome assembly